Molecule: long non-coding RNA, 451 nt
Filed under: Homo sapiens (human)
Lineage: Eukaryota; Metazoa; Chordata; Mammalia; Primates; Hominidae
Description: HSALNT0279238
Source: RNAcentral
GGAGGAAGAGAGCCCAGAGCAGUAAGCACAGCCCGUCAGAGAGCGGGCAGAGACGCACUGCGCUUCCUGAGACCGCGGCUCACCGCUCCCCUGCAUUCUGCUCUUCAAAGACACAUGCAGAACCUUCAGGGUGUUGAAAGGGGCCGCAAAGAUCACAGCUCUCAGCGGGGGCGCGGUCAGUCGGCCACAGCGGUGGAGAUGGCGUUGAAAGCCGGGGAUGAUGACUGCUGUGUAAGCCGAGCUCCCAGGGCUGUGCUUGAUCAGGGCAGGAUGUGUCCAUCCAGUAUGUUGGAGGUCAGAUGAAGAAAUGCAUGGAGUUACUUAAAAUGUUUCCUUUAUUAAUUUUAAGUGUAAGAAUGGAAAUUUUCAUGUAUCUUAUGCCCUCAAAGAUGUAAAGUAUGUGAGUGACAAAUAAAGGGAUGGAAGUCGCUGAUGCAACAUUUAGUGAUGG